Molecule: RNase P RNA, 320 nt
Filed under: Pseudomonadota bacterium
Lineage: Bacteria; Pseudomonadati; Pseudomonadota
Description: RNase P RNA component class A
Rfam family: Bacterial RNase P class A
About the family: Ribonuclease P (RNase P) is a ubiquitous endoribonuclease, found in archaea, bacteria and eukarya as well as chloroplasts and mitochondria. Its best characterised activity is the generation of mature 5'-ends of tRNAs by cleaving the 5'-leader elements of precursor-tRNAs.
Source: RNAcentral
AGAGUUCGCUGGACGAUCGCUGGCAGCAUUUGCUGCGGGAGGCAACGUCCGGACUCCGUAGAGCGACGUAGCAGGUAACACCUGCCCACCGUGAGGUGAGGAUCAGAGCAACAGAGACGAGUCGACGAGCGAUCGUCGGGUGAAACGGGCAAUCUCUACGUGGAGCAACACCAAAUAGGCGGCCGAUGAUCCUGCUCGGUGAGGUCGCGGGUAGGUGGCUUGAGCUGACGGGCGACUGCCAGCCUAGAGGAAUGAUCGUCACGGCGCUUCGUGGAAACACGGGCGGUGCACAGAAUCCGGCGUACAGGCGGACUUUGCUU